RNAcentral lists this ribosomal RNA (406 nucleotides) under uncultured bacterium. RNAcentral's name for it is "partial 16S ribosomal RNA". It matches the Rfam family "Bacterial small subunit ribosomal RNA", at positions 30 to 526 of the family's 1533-position model. The record is from RNAcentral.
AUUGAACGCUGGCGGAAGGCCUAACACAUGCAAGUCGAACGAGUGGCGGACGGGUGAGAAAUGUCUGGGAAACUGCCUGAUGGAGGGGGAUAACUACUGGAAACGGUAGCUAAUCCCGCAUACCAUCGAAUGUGCCCAGAUGGGAUUAACUAGUAGGUGGGGUAAAGGCUAACCUGGGCGACUAUCCAUAGCUGGUCUGCGAGGAUGACAAGCCACACUGGAACGUAGACACGGUCCAGACUCCUACGGGAGGAAGCAGUGGGGAAUAUUGCACAAUGGUGGCAAGCCUGAUUCAGCCAUGCCUCGUGUAUGAAGAAGGCCUUCGGGUUGUAAAGUACUUUCAGCGGGGAGGCGUUACCCGCAGAAGAAGCACCGGCUAACUCCGUGCCAGCAGCCGCGGUAAUAC